RNAcentral lists this ribosomal RNA (497 nucleotides) under uncultured bacterium. Its description in RNAcentral is "partial 16S ribosomal RNA". It matches the Rfam family "Bacterial small subunit ribosomal RNA", at positions 28 to 507 of the family's 1533-position model. The record is from RNAcentral.
GAUGAACGCUGGCGGCGUGCCUAAUACAUGCAAGUCGAGCGAACGGACGAGAAGCUUGCUUCUCUGAUGUUAGCGGCGGACGGGUGAGUAACACGUGGAUAACCUACCUAUAAGACUGGGAUAACUUCGGGAAACCGGAGCUAAUACCGGAUGAUAUUUUGAACCGCAUGGUUCAAAAGUGAAAGACGGUCUUGCUGUCACUUAUAGAUGGAUCCGCGCUGCAUUAGCUAGUUGGUAAGGUAACGGCUUACCAAGGCAACGAUGCAUAGCCGACCUGAGAGGGUGAUCGGCCACACUGGAACGGAGCCACGGUCCAGACUCCUACGGGAGGCAGCAGUAGGGAAUCUUCCGCAAUGGGCGAAAGCCUGACGGAGCAACGCCGCGUGAGUGAUGAAGGUCUUCGGAUCGUAAAACUCUGUUAUUAGGGAAGAACAUAUGUGUAAGUAACUGUGCACAUCUUGACGGUACCUAAUCAGAAAGCCACGGCUAACUACGUG